UGCAAGUCGAACGGGAUCCAAGGGUAAGCUUGCUUAUCUUUGGUGAGAGUGGCGCACGGGUGCGUAACGCGUGAGCAACCUACCCAUGUCUGGGGGAUAGCCCCUCGAAAGAGGGAUUAAUACCGCAUAACAUUAUUUGUUCUCAUGGACGGAUAAUCAAACUAUUUGGGACAUGGAUGGGCUCGCGUGACAUUAGCUAGUUGGUAAGGUAACGGCUUACCAAGGCAACGAUGUCUAGGGGCUCUGAGAGGAGAAUCCCCCACACUGGUACUGAGACACGGACCAGACUCCUACGGGAGGCAGCAGUAAGGAAUAUUGGUCAAUGGAGGCAACUCUGAACCAGCCAUGCCGCGUGCAGGAAGACGGCCCUAUGGGUUGUAAACUGCUUUUAUCGGGGAAUAAACCUACUCACGUGUGAGUAGCUGAAUGUACUCGAGGAAUAAGGAUCGGCUAACUCCGUGCCAGCAGCCGCGGUAAUACGGAGGAUCCAAGCGUUAUCCGGAUUUAUUGGGUUUAAAGGGUGCGUAGGCGGCGUGCUAAGUCAGGGGUGAAAGACGGUGGCUCAACCAUCGCAGUGCCUUUGAUACUGGUGCGCUUGAAUAUACAUGAGGUAGGCGGAAUGAGACAAGUAGCGGUGAAAUGCAUAGAUAUGUCUCAGAACACCGAUUGCGAAGGCAGCUUACUAAGGUAUUAUUGACGCUGAUGCACGAAAGCGUGGGGAUCAAACAGGAUUAGAUACCCUGGUAGUCCACGCCCUAAACGAUGAUAACUCGAUGUCGGCGAUAUACAGUCGGUGUCUUAGCGAAAGCGUUAAGUUAUCCACCUGGGGAGUACGGUCGCAAGAUUGAAACUCAAAGGAAUUGACGGGGGCCCGCACAAGCGGAGGAGCAUGUGGUUUAAUUCGAUGAUACGCGAGGAACCUUACCCGGGCUUGAAAGUUAGUGAAGAUACCAGAGACGGUAUCGUCCUUCGGGACACGAAACUAGGUGCUGCAUGGCUGUCGUCAGCUCGUGCCGUGAGGUGUUGGGUUAAGUCCCGCAACGAGCGCAACCCCUAUGUUUAGUUGCCAGCAUGUAAUGAUGGGGACUCUAAACAGACUGCCCGCGCAAGCGGAGAGGAAGGUGGGGACGACGUCAAGUCAUCAUGGCCCUUACGUCCGGGGCUACACACGUGCUACAAUGGAUGGUACAGCGGGCAGCUACACAGCAAUGUGAUGCUAAUCUCGAAAAGCCAUUCACAGUUCGGAUUGAGGUCUGCAACUCGACCUCAUGAAGUUGGAUUCGCUAGUAAUCGCGUAUCAGCAAUGACGCGGUGAAUACGUUCCCGGGCCUUGUACACACCGCCCGUCAAGCCAUGAAAGUUGGGGGUACCUAAAGCAUGUAACCGCGAGGAG
RNAcentral lists this ribosomal RNA (1393 nucleotides) under uncultured bacterium. Its description in RNAcentral is "16S ribosomal RNA". It matches the Rfam family "Bacterial small subunit ribosomal RNA". The record is from RNAcentral.